Non-coding RNA from Candidatus Melainabacteria bacterium GWF2_37_15, 74 nucleotides. The record is from Rfam. NCBI's taxonomy places the organism in Bacteria, Bacillati, Candidatus Melainabacteria.
GGCUUAGUAGCUCAGUUGGUUAGAGCACGUGGCUCAUACCCGCGGGGUCGCUGGUUCAACUCCAGCCUAAGCCA